Molecule: ribosomal RNA, 615 nt
Filed under: Bacillus sp. 13454
Lineage: Bacteria; Bacillati; Bacillota; Bacilli; Caryophanales; Bacillaceae
Description: bacterial SSU rRNA
Rfam family: Bacterial small subunit ribosomal RNA
Source: RNAcentral
GGAAGAUGGGAGCUUGCUCCCUGAUGUUAGCGGCGGACGGGUGAGUAACACGUGGGUAACCUGCCUGUAAGACUGGGAUAACUCCGGGAAACCGGGGCUAAUACCGGAUGCUUGUUUGAACCGCAUGGUUCAAACAUAAAAGGUGGCUUCGGCUACCACUUACAGAUGGACCCGCGGCGCAUUAGCUAGUUGGUGAGGUAAUGGCUCACCAAGGCAACGAUGCGUAGCCGACCUGAGAGGGUGAUCGGCCACACUGGGACUGAGACACGGCCCAGACUCCUACGGGAGGCAGCAGUAGGGAAUCUUCCGCAAUGGACGAAAGUCUGACGGAGCAACGCCGCGUGAGUGAUGAAGGUUUUCGGAUCGUAAAGCUCUGUUGUUAGGGAAGAACAAGUGCCGUUCAAAUAGGGCGGCACCUUGACGGUACCUAACCAGAAAGCCACGGCUAACUACGUGCCAGCAGCCGCGGUAAUACGUAGGUGGCAAGCGUUGUCCGGAAUUAUUGGGCGUAAAGGGCUCGCAGGCGGUUUCUUAAGUCUGAUGUGAAAGCCCCCGGCUCAACCGGGGAGGGUCAUUGGAAACUGGGGAACUUGAGUGCAGAAGAGGAGAGUGGAA